AUGCCUUACACAUGCAAGUCGAACGGCAGCACGGGAGCAAUCCUGGUGGCGAGUGGCGAACGGGUGAGUAAUAUAUCGGAACGUGCCCAGUCGUGGGGGAUAACGCAGCGAAAGCUGUGCUAAUACCGCAUACGAUCUACGGAUGAAAGCGGGGGAUCGCAAGACCUCGCGCGAUUGGAGCGGCCGAUAUCAGAUUAGCUAGUUGGUGGGGUAAAAGCCCACCAAGGCGGCGAUCUGUAGCUGGUCUGAGAGGACGACCAGCCACAUUGGAACUGAGACACGGUCCAGACUCCUACGGGAGGCAGCAGUGGGGAAUUUUGGACAAUGGGCGAAAGCCUGAUCCAGCAAUGCCGCGUGCAGGACGAAGGCCUUCGGGUUGUAAACUGCUUUUGUACGGAACGAAACGGUCUCCUCUAAUAAAGGGGGCUAAUGACGGUACCGUAAGAAUAAGCACCGGCUAACUACGUGCCAGCAGCCGCGGUAAUACGUAGGGUGCGAGCGUUAAUCGGAAUUACUGGGCGUAAAGCGUGCGCAGGCGGUUAUAUAAGACAGAUGUGAAAUCCCCGGGCUCAACCUGGGACCUGCAUUUGUGACUGUAUAGCUAGAGUACGGUAGAGGGGGAUGGAACUCCGCGUGUAGCAGUGAAAUGCGUAGAUAUGCGGAGGAACACCGAUGGCGAAGGCAAUCCCCUGGACCUGUACUGACGCUCAUGCACGAAAGCG
RNAcentral lists this ribosomal RNA (722 nucleotides) under uncultured soil bacterium. RNAcentral describes it as "bacterial SSU rRNA". It matches the Rfam family "Bacterial small subunit ribosomal RNA", at positions 44 to 761 of the family's 1533-position model. The record is from RNAcentral.